This 613-nucleotide ribosomal RNA is filed under the name uncultured bacterium. Its description in RNAcentral is "bacterial SSU rRNA". It matches the Rfam family "Bacterial small subunit ribosomal RNA", at positions 202 to 803 of the family's 1533-position model. The record is from RNAcentral.
GAAAGAUGGUUCUGCUAUCACUCUUGGAUGGACCUGCGGUGCAUUAGCUAGUUGGUAAGGUAACGGCUUACCAAGGCAAUGAUGCAUAGCCGAGUUGAGAGACUGAUCGGCCACAUUGGGACUGAGACACGGCCCAAACUCCUACGGGAGGCAGCAGUAGGGAAUCUUCCACAAUGGACGAAAGUCUGAUGGAGCAACGCCGCGUGAGUGAAGAAGGGUUUCGGCUCGUAAAGCUCUGUUGGUAGUGAAGAAAGAUAGAGGUAGUAACUGGCCUUUAUUUGACGGUAAUUACUUAGAAAGUCACGGCUAACUACGUGCCAGCAGCCGCGGUAAUACGUAGGUGGCAAGCGUUGUCCGGAUUUAUUGGGCGUAAAGCGAGUGCAGGCGGUUCAAUAAGUCUGAUGUGAAAGCCUUCGGCUCAACCGGAGAAUUGCAUCAGAAACUGUUGAACUUGAGUGCAGAAGAGGAGAGUGGAACUCCAUGUGUAGCGGUGGAAUGCGUAGAUAUAUGGAAGAACACCAGUGGCGAAGGCGGCUCUCUGGUCUGCAACUGACGCUGAGGCUCGAAAGCAUGGGUAGCGAACAGGAUUAGAUACCCUGGUAGUCCAUGCCGU